AAAUUGAAUAGAUUUUAUAUUAAAAAAAUGGUACAUUUUACAUAUAACAAAUUUGUAUAUUUAAGAAUGACUACAUUUUAAUAUUAAAAAGUUUUACAUGAAUGGGUACAUAUUGACACACCCCGUCCCGAAGGAGGGCAUGCUGGCCGUCACGUGAGAGUGACGUAACCAUUUGCACAGUACGGAAGCUUUAAGAUACAAUUUAUAAGUUGAUACACCCGAAGGGAGUCCUAAUUUUGUCCAAUCUGUCAGAACACCGUCGAAUUCCUCGUAGCCACCACACCUCAGCUAUUCUUUAACCUGGAGGGGCGCAAAACCAAAAUUGAGUGGGUCAGUAAAACAAUUCUUUUCAAAUCCAAUUUUUUCUCAAAGCAUUGUAACCCCUCUCCGUAAAACCUGUAUACUUUCCCAGAAAUGUAAAAUAUAAAUAUACAUAUAUAUUCUCAAAACUUCAUUUUUACUAUCUCAACAUUUUUCUUUAUCAAUCAUGCCAUGCCAUGUCUAAUUCAAUAGUUAAGUAUGGAUGCAUCAACAAUAAUCAUAUUAGGUACAAGAAAGUAAUCAACCGGAGGCCCUCUAAUAGCCCUGUACGGUUGAACCUAGAGCUCAAAAUCUAUCAUUCUCACACUCUGCCGGAGUCACUCCGCGUGACCUGUACGGCCUUCUGCACAUAAGUUACGCUCUAGUGCUUCUCAUAAUCAUCUGUGCACAUAAUCUAAGGUCACCCACCAGUCGGAAUCUCACUAACACUCUCGCGACUGGCCUGUCGUACCCACUCCGCGUGGACUGUACGACUAGCAUCUACUUGGAUCCAAGGCGAGCGUGCGAUGCGGUGAAUACUAUAAGCACUAAACUAUGGUGCAGGAUUUGAGCUCAAUAUACAUCAACAUCAUCAUAACAGAAAUAAAUACUCACAUGUGCGUCCACCGCACCAUUUCAUACAUAUGCAUCAUAAAUCAAUUCUUACCUGUGCGUCCACCGCACCAAUUCAUACAUAUGCAUCAUAAAUCAAUUCUUACCUGUGCGUCCACCGCACCAAUUCAUACAUAUGCAUCAUAUAUUAAUUCAUGCAUGGCAUUUCAACUCACAUUUCUAUAUACUUUUCAUAUCAAUUCUAUGCAUGGUAUUUCACUUCCCGUUUUUCCACAUAACUCAUAUGCAUUUCAUUUUAAACAUAUUUUCAUUUCAAUUCAAUUUCUGGGAAACGUCAAGUAUAUAUAUAUACGGAAAACAAAACUGCCCACUCACCUGGAGUUCGUCCAACAACUCCCUAGCACCACACAUCAAGGCGUCACGACGAUCGCCGCCUAGAAUAGUAAUCAAAUCCAACCUCAGAAUUCAUAUCGAUAGAAUAUAUAACUUAUAUAAAAUACGUCACUACGUAGUUCGAUCCGGAAGAUCUGCCACUCAGAUUUUUAAAUCCAUAACUUCCAGAGGUCCACAAUAUAUCUCUAGGACAACAUCCUAAAAUUUCAUCACCAUCCAACGGUCGGAUCUCCGUCAAUUUCCAAAACUAAGUGACGGUUAACAUUUUAUAUUAUGGACUUACAAUUCCAAUUCCGGAAGAUCCGUAACUCGGAUUCCCAAUCCGUAAGUUCCAAUAAUCCUCAAAUAUUACGUAUUACAACGUAUCAAAGUUUGGUAACGAUCCAACGGUCGGAUCGUCAAUUCACAUUUUUAUCUAAAUGUGAAAACUAUAAAACGUUAUUCGAACACCUAACCAACAAUCCUUAAUAACUUUCUCAUACGGUGCUCAAUUUGGGUAUAUGAAUAUACCACGGUGAUCUACUCGACGUCACGGACGUCGACAUAUUUUUAAAAUAAUUUUAUUUUUAUUUAUUUUUUUUACUGUAGCACCUUCUUCUUCCUUGGGUCGCCAGACUGGUUUUUCCGGCGGCCGUUUUCCGGGCAGUUUUUCAAAUUACCAUAACUUUGUCAUUUCUCAACGAAAUCAAGUGAUUCAAAAACGAGAGUUGUAGCCCUUGAAGAUACAAAGAUAAUGGUACCUUGCACAACACCUAGUUCGCCGUGGUUUGGCCGGAAACGGCCUCGAAAGCCUCGGAGGUCGCCGGAAACUGGGUAUUUUUCAAAUGAGUAUAACUUCUUCAAUACUCAACUAAAUUGCGUGAAACAAAAAGGAAAGUUGUAGUACUUGACGAGACGAAGAGAUUGAUACCUACCUCGACUCCUAACUCGCCGGGGAUUCGCCGGAAAGAGCCUCGAAAGCUCCGGCCAAACUUUGAACUUGUCGAUCUCCGUGUUCUUACGUCCAAAAACUUCCAACGAAGCACUCCGAGCUUCCUUGGGACUUCCUUAAGCUCACUGUGAGCUUAGUUUGGCCUAAAACACAACCAAUUCAAAGCUCAUGAACAGUACACUUUCAUGGGGAGUUUAGAAUCUAGGUUUUCCGAAGUAAAACUUACCUGAAAUGGAUACCAACGUGAUCCUGAAGUCCUCAGGAUUCCAAUGGUGGUCUCAAACUUGACGUUGGUAUAGAUUUAGGGUGGUUUUAGUGGUGGUCCGUGUGAGUUCGAAGGAGAGAGACAGAGAGAGUGAGAAAUCGUGAAGGAGGAGAGAGAAAGACAGUGAACGGGAAAUGAGGAGGGUUUUGAGGGAUGUGGGGAUCCCACGUGGUCCUUAUUCCAAUCUC
This 2650-nucleotide long non-coding RNA is filed under the name Malus domestica (apple). RNAcentral's name for it is "long non-coding RNA (MDOM_LNC008590)". Lineage: Eukaryota; Viridiplantae; Streptophyta; Magnoliopsida; Rosales; Rosaceae. The record is from RNAcentral.